Molecule: ribosomal RNA, 465 nt
Filed under: Vreelandella stevensii
Lineage: Bacteria; Pseudomonadati; Pseudomonadota; Gammaproteobacteria; Oceanospirillales; Halomonadaceae
Description: partial 16S ribosomal RNA
Rfam family: Bacterial small subunit ribosomal RNA
Source: RNAcentral
CCUACGGGUGGCUGCAGUGGGGAAUAUUGGACAAUGGGCGAAAGCCUGAUCCAGCCAUGCCGCGUGUGUGAAGAAGGCCUUCGGGUUGUAAAGCACUUUCAGUGGGGAAGAAAGCCUUGGGGCUAAUACCCUCGAGGAAGGACAUCACCCACAGAAGAAGCACCGGCUAACUCCGUGCCAGCAGCCGCGGUAAUACGGAGGGUGCGAGCGUUAAUCGGAAUUACUGGGCGUAAAGCGCGCGUAGGCGGUCUGAUAAGCCGGUUGUGAAAGCCCCUGGCUCAACCUGGGAACGGCAUCCGGAACUGUCAGGCUAGAGUGCAGGAGAGGAAGGUAGAAUUCCCGGUGUAGCGGUGAAAUGCGUAGAGAUCGGGAGGAAUACCAGUGGCGAAGGCGGCCUUCUGGACUGACACUGACGCUGAGGUGCGAAAGCGUGGGUAGCAAACAGGAUUAGAUACCCGAGUAGUC